Molecule: long non-coding RNA, 1360 nt
Filed under: Oryctolagus cuniculus (rabbit)
Lineage: Eukaryota; Metazoa; Chordata; Mammalia; Lagomorpha; Leporidae
Description: lncRNA (ENSOCUG00000031246.1)
Source: RNAcentral
AUCAAUCAACAAAAAGACACCGACAGGUCAAAGCAAAGAGCCAGGAGGUGCCCACCAACACUCCUCCGCGGCGCGCGCACCAAACACCACCGCCACCUGCGCGAGGCCCAGCGAGCACAGCGUCUGCAUUCGCACUUUCGCCACGGGCGCUGCGGGGAGACCCCCGGGGCCAGGGGUACGGGCCUUGCCUCAGCCGGCGCCCUAUAAGGCUCGGGAGUUGCGGCCCAGGGAACCUGGAGAUUGGCCGCAUCCCCCGGAGAGUAGGCUUCGCCACCACUGUCCUGCUGCUCCGGCCCGUGGCUCUUGGCGAAUCGGUGGCGACGAAAACUGCGCCUAGUCUCUGAGGGAAAGGGGGCGGGGCGGAGGGGAGGAGGCCAGCCAGGGCUGAGGAAGUUUGAGUGGCGCGUUGAGCAGACGCAGAUUCGUCAGGCGGGCGGGGCGAAUCGGAGGACAGGAUGAGCGCUCUUCGGCUCCUCUUCCCUGCCCCUUCCUUGCGCGGCCAAAGGUCUAAGAAGUUGCAGAUUCGCCACUGUUCCCGGUCUCAGCCGUCGCUUCCCUUCAUCCGCCUUGGUGGGGGGGCGGGGAGGAGGCACGAAAAUAACGCCCGGCUAGCCGAGCCCUGCUGGCUGCGUCGGCCGCUUUUUCUGGAUCGUUCUUGCUAGCACAACUCAGGGGGGACAACCCACUUCUGAGCCAGGGAGGAAUGGCCACAGCCCAAAGCGAUGAGAAUUUUCCGCCGAGCAAACAGGCGCCCGCGCAAUUCUCAGAAGGCGGCUGGCGAAUCUGCGGAGCCUGCUGUGGGCGGGGCCGAGCGCCGCGCGGAGGGGCGUGGCCAGGGCGUGCGGGAGCCGGGCUGCGGGGGCGCUUCCUGGGGGACCCACCGCAACCCGGCGGCCCCGGAGGGGUGACUCAGGCGGUUUGCCGGGCCCGUGCACCCAGUGCUUCCCGUCGGCCCCGUGAAGAUGCCCGUCUGACAGACAGGGAUUCGGAGGCCUGGAUAAGGGGAAAGUAAGUGGGGUCGCUGUCCCAGAGGGUCCCAUGCGGUGGGAAAGGCAAUCCAAGUUCAGCUUCCUUAUCUUUGAAACGGAACGAUCUAGACCAUCACCUGCCACCACCCACGACGCCGGCAUCCAGGUGGACACCAGUCUGUCCCGGCUGCUCCACUUCCCAUCCAGCUCCCUGCUAUGGCCUGGGAAAAGCAGUGGAAGAUGGCUCAUGGGUCUGGGCCCCUGCCACCUGCGUGGAAGACCAGGAAGAAGUUCCUAUUGCGACCAUCUGGGGAGUGAACCAGCAGGUGGAAGAUCUCUCUUUCUCUCUGCUUUCAAAUAAAAUAAAUUUAAAAAAUUAAAAGACUUGUCUC